This is a long non-coding RNA of Gymnodraco acuticeps, 3567 nucleotides long. RefSeq lists it as uncharacterized. Lineage: Eukaryota; Metazoa; Chordata; Actinopteri; Perciformes; Bathydraconidae. The record is from RefSeq and is a predicted model, not a curated record. The transcript is spliced from 3 exons.
CCAGUAUUGUUAAAAUCAGCGUCAAGACGAGAGGACUUCCCUCCUGUCAUGGUGUGACAGAGAUGUACAGAGAUUAAAACAGUACAAUUUACAUUAGCAGUUUAACGUACUGUACUUUAACGUGAAAAUACAGUUAAGUGAAGGCGACAGCUUACUGCUCUCACUGCUAACACCAACGUUUCUUCACGACGGAGAAACAACGAAGUGUUCUUUGAUGUGACACGGAUAACAUUAACUCUCACUGGGGAAACGUCAGUGUUUAUCAAGAGGAGAAACAUAUUUCUUGUGGACUAAUUGUGGAAGAAGACGGACCAUAAGGACUUCAGAAAAACAACAGCUCUGUGUUGACAUUGUGUUGCAUUCUUCAGAUUUUGUAUGCUAACUAGUUCCCGGAUGUCGGCUAUCUUUACAGGUUGCUACAUUAAUACAGAUAGAAGCAGGUUGAAUUAUUCAGUAUCACAAGACAAUGUAUUUCAAUUGUUAGCAUGUUAGCAUUGACCUGCUAUGGGCAGCAGCUAUGACGCUAGGUGUAGCCACAGAGUUAUGUCACUGUCAGGCUAACAGAUAGCUCGUUGUCUGCAGCUGUUCUCAGUGUUUGCAUGGUCAUGUCCAGCAGCAUCAUGUAGACUGUCCUCGUGAACCAGGUUACUGGGGACACACAGUGAGAUAGUGAGCCUCUUAAGAGAGUAAUGUAAAGCUGGUUUGCAUCUAUCAAACUGGACAGCUGGCACUGAAAUACCAAGCUCAGGAUUGUUGUUAGCCAUGCUCAAAGCCGUCUGUUCUUUGUGAUAUUGCAAACAUUCCAACCUACUUAGAGGACGUGUGAAUGCAUCAUGUCCUGAAUGCAUCUCUUAUUUAUGCACAUCAGAGCAGCCUGUCAUGUAGUAAAUCCGCAGUGCAAGAAGCAGCAUCACUAAGACUGAGAGCAUCGUUUGCUCCAGGAUUAUUUUCUGAAGAGGAGAGCAACAUAUAAAAGGAGCAGCUGGACCAUCAUCCCACCACAAUGGAGACUGUGGGAGAUUUUGAGUACAGCAGGAAAGACCUGGUUGGACAUGGAGCCUUCGCUGUGGUGUUCAAAGGAAGACACAGGAAGAAGACAGAUUGGGAGGUGGCCAUCAAGAGCAUUAAUAAGAAGAACCUGUCCAAGUCCCAGAUCCUUCUUGGCAAGGAAAUCAAAAUCCUGAAGGAGCUGCAGCAUGAAAACAUUGUGGCACUUUACGAUGUCCAGGUAAGUUAUUUUUAUAUCAAUUUUAUAAAAAGUUUGUGGGAAGUUAAGUAUUGAAUAGUACUUUGAGUUUGCUAUGAGACCUUUGUUGUGUCUCAAUUUGUGUCCUACUCUACUUGCAUGUGCUGCUUUGAGUGUAUAAAUGCGUCCAAUUGCAAAAUGAUCCUUAAGUUCCCGGAUGGUGCUAUUAACGUUAUGCGAUUAAUUGAGCAGUCCGUUAUGAUUUGCUACAGCGAACGUUUCUAACAAGCUAGCUAGCUAACACCGGUGAUCGUCAUUUCUGGACAGGCCACAGCAGCUGUUUGCGUUUUAUGAAAAAAAUUCAACACGGUCAGAAUUGAAAGUUCUCACAGUGCACAACAUGGCAGUCUACUAAGGUAUGUGUCCAAAUUGAGACACUUGAACCAAUAUCUAUGGAGUCAAUGAAUAUCUAGUCAACUGAAUGUCCUCAAAUGCUUUGUGUAAAGAGGAUCAAUGUUGCAAUCGGCUAGUAGCACUGCCCGGCUCUAUUGCAUCUAUUUUUGUUCUGCGUGCCAUGGACGAUUCACAUCAAAAGUAAAAAUGAAAAGGAUUUUUUGAGUAUAUUGACAUCAGUACAUUACUACAGUUUCAAUGUCAAAUGUGUCGCAGCAUAUCGUGCAUAUCAUCGGUCUUUGCCGACUCAGCUGGCUGAUUCAGCGUCGAACUACUGCGGCUCUAUCAGUCCAUUUGGCAGAGUUGUGCUGUAUAGAUUUUACAAAGUGAGGCUUCAGCUUCUAUUACAAAUAUGAAAAUACGGGGUCUGUGCUGGAAGUAGGACUGUGUAUUGGCGAGAAUCUGGUGAUGAAAUACGUGUCAUGAUGAUACAGCAUUUAGCAGGAAUUUUAGAUAUGAUACGUUUUUCGUGAGAAAGACAAACCACAACAUGAAACGGUUAACAGUAGAUUUAAAGGUGCAUUGUCAGAAGAAACCACACCAAUAUGGACUUUGGAUGUUUAAAAAGAUAGUCAAUAUUUGCUGCUAAGAAGCACCACCCAAACAGACCUGUUUUUAAAUGGUUUUUCGUAAAACUGUGAGGCUGAUGGAAAACAUGAAAUAUGACUCAAUGGAAAAUGAGAUGCAUUGUGCUGAAUCUGAAUGGCCAUACUGUCAGUACACGGUCACUUACAGUACACUGAUUGAUGGCCAUCUAUAGGGCUCUUGAACUCCUGUUAAAUGAGCACAAAUGCCUCGGAUCCCCUCUGGUCCCUGGCUGAGAGACCCUGUUAUUGCAUCUAGCAGACUGCUAGAUCACACAUUCCUGACGCGUCCCUUUUAAGAUCCCUUUGGAUCAAAUAAAUGGUUUUAAAAAUAAAAAUGUGUUGCUAGAGGCCCAGUAUUAGUGUAUUUUUCAUAGCUUACAGUUUCCUGCAUUUAUCAACGGUACUUGUUAUUCAUCCUGUAUAGUGCAUUACUGAUGUUAUUUGUUGCAGGGUUGCUCUCUCUUGACUUAUUGUGGGUGGUGUGAUAGACUCCCACUUACUUUUAGGCAGGAGUUUGCAGCCACACAGCUUAAGCAGAUGUUUGUAUUUGUAAUUCAGUAUUUUUUAUUCACUCUGACUUCAAAUUAUGUUUCUAUCGGUGUGCAUAUAUGAAACAUGGCUAUUAAGCCUAUAUAGCAUUGGUCAUUUCUCCACAUUUCUACAAACUAUUGUCCUCUUUAUAUCACAAAAGUCCUUACCAGCCGAUAGUAGACAUGUUUGUUAUAGUGUCCCUAAUUGGCCCUUACAUUAGAGUGUCCUUCCAAUGAGGAGAUACACAGGGAGAGGAGGCAGAUAAAGUGAUGCUGAAGCACUUCCCACAUAGGAAUGGUACUUCCUGUGUUUACGUAAGCCUCCCACAGGGACUCUACUGAUCAGUCCAUUCACCCUCUUACUCCUCUAUCCGUCUCCUUAUUCCUCCAUCAGUCCCCCUGAUGUAAUAAACUCUGAGGCAGACGGCUGAGGAGUCCAAUCAUUACUCAGCAGGCAGAAUAAAGUACAAUAGUUCCAUCAGUGAUGAUACUGUAUAUACGUACAUAACUGUGAUUUUAAGAACUGGUUCAUGAUUUUCAUAUUCGAAAAAAACAACCGUCUGUUCCUUUUGAAAAAAAAGGAAACGAUAACCUUAAAGAAAAUGUUCAUUUAUGUAUUUAUUUAGUAAGCAUGUAGGAAAGCUAUGUCUGGCUCAAAUAAGAUUGUCUUUAGAGAUAAUUGCAGUAAGGAAAUGAAUGGCCCAAUACAUUAGGACACUAUAGAUCAGUGGUCACCAACCUUUUUAAGCCCAAGGUCACCGAACUCGGCCUAGGUGAAAGGCGAGAUCUACCUAUUGCAGAAUUGAGUGAA